CUACGGGGUGCUCCAGUGAGGAAUAUUGCACAAUGGGGGGAACCCUGAUGCAGCAACGCCGCGUGGAGGAUGACGCAUUUCGGUGCGUAAACUCCUUUUAUAUGUCAAGAAAAUGACGGUAGCAUAUGAAUAAGCACCGGCUAACUCCGUGCCAGCAGCCGCGGUAAUACGGAGGGUGCAAGCGUUAUUCGGAAUCACUGGGCGUAAAGGACGCGUAGGCGGGUUAUCAAGUCAGGUGUGAAAUCCUACAGCUUAACUGUAGAACUGCACUUGAAACUGGUAGCCUAGAGUAUGGGAGGGGCAGAUGGAAUUAGUGGUGUAGGGGUAAAAUCCGUAGAUAUCACUAGGAAUACCGAAAGCGAAGGCGAUCUGCUGGAACAUUACUGACGCUAAGGCGUGAAAGCGUGGGGAGCAAACAGGAUUAGAUACCCUUGUAGUC
This 439-nucleotide ribosomal RNA is filed under the name uncultured bacterium. Its description in RNAcentral is "partial 16S ribosomal RNA". It matches the Rfam family "Bacterial small subunit ribosomal RNA", at positions 339 to 795 of the family's 1533-position model. The record is from RNAcentral.